RNAcentral lists this ribosomal RNA (253 nucleotides) under uncultured bacterium. RNAcentral's name for it is "partial 16S ribosomal RNA". It matches the Rfam family "Bacterial small subunit ribosomal RNA", at positions 524 to 776 of the family's 1533-position model. The record is from RNAcentral.
GACGUAGAGCGCGAGCGUUGUCCGGAUUUAUUGGGCGUAAAGAGCUCGUAGGCGGCUUGUCGCGUCGAAUGUGAAAACCCGAGGCUCAACUUCGGGCUUGCAUUCGAUACGGGCAGGCUAGAGUUCGGUAGGGGAGACUGGAAUUCCUGGUGUAGCGGUGAAAUGCGCAGAUAUCAGGAGGAACACCGGUGGCGAAGGCGGGUCUCUGGGCCGAUACUGACGCUGAGGAGCGAAAGCGUGGGGAGCGAACAGG